AGUGAACGCUGGCGGUAGGCCUAACACAUGCAAGUCGAACGGCAGCACAGUAAGAGCUUGCUCUUACGGGUGGCGAGUGGCGGACGGGUGAGGAAUACAUCGGAAUCUACUUUUUCGUGGGGGAUAACGUAGGGAAACUUACGCUAAUACCGCAUACGACCUACGGGUGAAAGCAGGGGAUCUUCGGACCUUGCGCGAUUGAAUGAGCCGAUGUCGGAUUAGCUAGUUGGCGGGGUAAAGGCCCACCAAGGCGACGAUCCGUAGCUGGUCUGAGAGGAUGAUCAGCCACACUGGAACUGAGACACGGUCCAGACUCUUACGGGAGGCAGCAGUGGGGAAUAUUGGACAAUGGGCGCAAGCCUGAUCCAGCCAUACCGCGUGGGUGAAGAAGGCCUUCGGGUUGUAAAGCCCUUUUGUUGGGAAAGAAAAGCAGCAGGUUAAUACCCCGCUGCUCUGACGGUACCCAAAGAAUAAGCACCGGCUAACUUCGUG
RNAcentral lists this ribosomal RNA (492 nucleotides) under uncultured bacterium. RNAcentral describes it as "partial 16S ribosomal RNA". It matches the Rfam family "Bacterial small subunit ribosomal RNA", at positions 29 to 507 of the family's 1533-position model. The record is from RNAcentral.